GCGAAAUGUUGCAUCUAAUGGCACUUAAAUCAGUCAUACCUCCCGAAACUUGAACGUUAAAAGGUUGGAUAAGUUUUUUUUGGCUGCUCUUUCAAUACUCGAAGACAAUUUCUAGUCAGGACAAAGAAUAAAUGGUUCGACUACAGCAGAUUGCAGUAGUGCUGAUGUUCGUCCCUUGGUUCACACUGGUACUCGUGAAUAGUUGUGCCACCUACGAUUUUGAAAGCUGCAGGACUGAGACUGGUGCUUAUGGCGACUGCGCGGAGGGCCAAACUACUUGCACACCAGAAUGCGAGUGCAUUUCCGUGAAGAGAAAAAGUUCAGGCGUCUGGCGCAACUUCUGUGCUAAAUGUGUGGAAUAACUUCAAGAAAAAGAACGCUGAGAGGAAACAAAAAACCAAGAAUGGUUCCAGCAUGUGAUAUGAAGGGGCCAAAUGAAUAUUUGACAACGGGUCGGAAUUAUCAAGUUGUUUUUGAGGUGAAGGAAUUUUUAAAAUGUUGAUUCAUUUCAUUAAUCAGCCAAUAGCAACAGACUUUGAUCAGUUGAA
Molecule: long non-coding RNA, 548 nt
Organism: Symsagittifera roscoffensis
Lineage: Eukaryota; Metazoa; Xenacoelomorpha; Acoela; Convolutidae
Exons: 3
Source: RefSeq, a predicted model, not a curated record